CCCUGCGGAGCCAGGCUUUCUGCUGUGACAGAGGCGAGGGGCCACAGGAGGCAGCAGUCCUUGCCAGAAACGGCCUCAGCCCCCUCCACGCCCCAGCUCACCGCGAGCUCCCCAUGCCGGCUGUGCCUCUCCCUUUCCAGAGCAAGGCGACACCAAACCCCCGCCGGGUCACAUCCUGUCUUCUUCAGAAUGGUCUUUGCACUGCUGCUAGGGACAGGGGCUACCAGAGCAAAAGGACAACGGAGGAGAACACUUAAGCCCAGUUUCCAGAAGCAUCUAAAAACUAGGUUUAACUGAAAGCCAUUAAGAGGGAAACAGCUUCAUCCAACUCCUCUGCCCACCAACCUGUGCUACACGUAUUCCAGGCUCAUCCCACACCUUAACAGAUGACAAGAGAAAAGUGCCAGUACUGAGGACUUGAGAACAGAGCAGAAAUGGAGUGGAAAUAGAGAAACACAGCAUUGCAAGGCAGUCAAAAAUCUGCAUACAAAAUCUUCUCCAGCACUUUCUAAGCAGAUGAC
RNAcentral lists this long non-coding RNA (521 nucleotides) under Gallus gallus (chicken). RNAcentral describes it as "lncRNA (ENSGALG00010025179.1)". Lineage: Eukaryota; Metazoa; Chordata; Aves; Galliformes; Phasianidae. The record is from RNAcentral.